UCGAACGAGAAAACGGGGGCAACCCUGUGAGUACAGUGGCAGACGGGUGAGUAACACGUGAACAACCUACCCUCGAGUGGGGAAUAACACCGCGAAAGCGGUGCUAAUACCGCAUAACAUCUUCGAGUCGCAUGGCUUGAAGAUCAAGAGCGCAAGUUGCUUGAGGAGGGGUUCGCGGCUGAUUAGCUAGUUGGUGAGGUAACGGCCCACCAAGGCCACGAUCAGUAGCCGGCCUGAGAGGGUGGACGGCCACACUGGAACUGAGACACGGUCCAGACUCCUACGGGAGGCAGCAGUGGGGAAUUUUGCGCAAUGGGCGAAAGCCUGACGCAGCAACGCCGCGUGGAGGAUGAAGGCCUUCGGGUCGUAAACUCCUGUCGAUGGGGACGAAAGCCUCGCAAGAGGUUUGACUGUACCCGUUGAGGAAGCCACGGCUAACUCCGUGCCAGCAGCCGCGGUAAUACGGAGGUGGCAAGCGUUGUUCGGAAUUACUGGGCGUAAAGGGCGCGUAGGCGGCUUUACAAGUCAGAUGUGAAAGCCCCGGGCUUAACCCGGGAAUUGCAUCUGAAACUGUUUUGCUUGAGUCCUGGAGGGGGUAGUGGAAUUCCCAGUGUAGCGGUGAAAUGUGUAGAUAUUGGGAGGAACACCUGCGGCGAAGGCGGCUACCUGGACAGUGACUGACGCUGAGGCGCGAAAGCUAGGGGAGCAAACGGGAUUAGAUACCCCGGUAGUCCUAGCUGUAAACGAUGGGCACUUGGUGUUGGGGGUAUUGAGUCCCUCUGUGCCGGAGCUAACGCGAUAGUGC
RNAcentral lists this ribosomal RNA (805 nucleotides) under uncultured bacterium. RNAcentral's name for it is "bacterial SSU rRNA". It matches the Rfam family "Bacterial small subunit ribosomal RNA", at positions 62 to 867 of the family's 1533-position model. The record is from RNAcentral.